UAGGGAAUCUUCCACAAUGGACGAAAGUCUGAUGGAGCAACGCCGCGUGAGUGAAGAAGGGUUUCGGCUCGUAAAGCUCUGUUGGUAGUGAAGAAAGAUAGAGGUAGUAACUGGCCUUUAUUUGACGGUAAUUACUUAGAAAGUCACGGCUAACUACGUGCCAGCAGCCGCGGUAAUACGUAGGUGGCAAGCGUUGUCCGGAUUUAUUGGGCGUAAAGCGAGUGCAGGCGGUUCAAUAAGUCUGAUGUGAAAGCCUUCGGCUCAACCGGAGAAUUGCAUCAGAAACUGUUGAACUUGAGUGCAGAAGAGGAGAGUGGAACUCCAUGUGUAGCGGUGGAAUGCGUAGAUAUAUGGAAGAACACCAGUGGCGAAGGCGGCUCUCUGGUCUGUAACUGACGCUGAGGCUCGAAAGCAUGGGUAGCGAACA
Molecule: ribosomal RNA, 427 nt
Filed under: uncultured bacterium
Lineage: Bacteria
Description: bacterial SSU rRNA
Rfam family: Bacterial small subunit ribosomal RNA
Source: RNAcentral